Molecule: ribosomal RNA, 377 nt
Filed under: uncultured organism
Description: partial 16S ribosomal RNA
Rfam family: Bacterial small subunit ribosomal RNA
Source: RNAcentral
GUAGGGGUGCAAGCGUUAUCCGGAAUUAUUGGGCGUAAAGCGUUCGUAGGGUGGCUUGGAAAGUUUGUAGUUAAAUCUGGGUCGCUCAACGAUCAAUUCGCUACAAAAACUCCCAAACUAGAGAAUGGCAGAGGCAACUGGAAUUCCACAUGUAGGGGUAAAAUCCGUUGAUAUGUGGAGGAACACCAAAAGCGAAGGCAGGUUGCUGGGCCAUUUCUGACACUGAGGAACGAAAGCGUGGGGAGCAAACAGGAUUAGAUACCCUGGUAGUCCACGCCGUAAACGAUGGAUACUCGAUGUAGUGAGGAAUCGACCCCUUGCUGUGUCCAAGCUAACGCGUUAAGUAUCCCGCCUGGGGAGUACGGUCGCAAAGAUUA